This 440-nucleotide ribosomal RNA is filed under the name uncultured bacterium. RNAcentral describes it as "bacterial SSU rRNA". It matches the Rfam family "Bacterial small subunit ribosomal RNA", at positions 338 to 795 of the family's 1533-position model. The record is from RNAcentral.
CCUACGGGAGGCAGCAGCGAGGGAUUUUCGGCAAUGGGCGCAAGCCUGACCGAGCAACGCCGCGUGCGGGACGACGCCCCUCGGGGUGUAAACCGCUUUUGCCGGGGGCGAGAAUGACGGUACCCGGCGAAUCAGCCUCGGCUAACUACGUGCCAGCAGCCGCGGUAAGACGUAGGAGGCGAGCGUUGUCCGGAUUUACUGGGCGUAAAGCGCGCGCAGGCGGCCCCGCAGGUCGGUAGUGAAAGCCCCCGGCUCAACCGGGUGGAGGCGACCGAAACCGCGGGGCUGGAGGGCGAUAGAGGGUGGUGGAAUUCCCGGUGUAGUGGUGAAAUGCGUAGAGAUCGGGAGGAACACCCGCGGCGAAGGCGGCCACCUGGGUCGACCCUGACGCUGAGGCGCGAAGGCCGGGGGAGCGAACGGGAUUAGAUACCCCGGUAGUC